UUCCGGUUGAUCCUGCCGGACCUGACUGCUAUCGGAUUGAUACUAAGCCAUGCGAGUCAUUGUAGCAAUACAAGGCAGACGGCUCAGUAACGCGUAGUCAACCUGCCCUAUGGACGGAAAUAACCUCGGGAAACUGAGUAUAAUGUCCGAUAGAACACUAUACCUGGAAUGGUUUGUGUUCCAAAUGAUUUAUCGCCAUAGGAUGGGACUGCGGCCUAUCAGUUUGUUGGUGAGGUAAUGGCCCACCAAGACUAUUACAGGUACGGGCUCUGAGAGGAGUGGCCCGGAGAUGGGUACUGAGACACGGACCCAGGCCCUAUGGGGCGCAGCAGGCGAGAAAACUUUGCAAUGUGCGAAAGCACGACAAGGUUAAUCCGAGUGGUUUGUGCUAAACGAACCUUUUGUCAGUCCUAGAAACACUAACGAAUAAGGGGUGGGCAAGUUCUGGUGUCAGCCGCCGCGGUAAAACCAGCACCUCAAGUGGUCAGGAUGAUUAUUGGGCCUAAAGCAUCCGUAGCCGGCUCUGUAAGUUUUCGGUUAAAUCUGUACGCUUAACGUACAGGCUGCCGGGAAUACUGCAGAGCUAGGGAGUGGGAGAGGUAGACGGUACUCGGUAGGAAGGGGUAAAAUCCUUUGAUCUAUUGAUGACCACCUGUGGCGAAGGCGGUCUACCAGAACACGUCCGACGGUGAGGGAUGAAAGCUGGGGGAGCAAACCGGAUUAGAUACCCGGGUAGUCCAGCUGUAAACUAUGCAAACUCAGUGAUGCAUUGACUUGUGGUCAAUGCAGUGCUGCAGGGAAGCCGUUAAGUUUGCCGCCUGGGAAGUACGUACGCAAGUAUGAAACUUAAAGGAAUUGGCGGGGGAGCACCACAAGGGGUGAAGCCUGCGGUUCAAUUGGAUUCAACGCCGGA
This 913-nucleotide ribosomal RNA is filed under the name uncultured crenarchaeote. Its description in RNAcentral is "bacterial SSU rRNA". It matches the Rfam family "Archaeal small subunit ribosomal RNA", at positions 1 to 922 of the family's 1478-position model. The record is from RNAcentral. Lineage: Archaea; Thermoproteati; Thermoproteota.